GUUGACCUCGGAUCAUGUAGGGAUACCCGCUGAACUUAAGCAUAUCAA
This 48-nucleotide ribosomal RNA is filed under the name Penicillium sp. KH00310. RNAcentral's name for it is "partial 28S ribosomal RNA". The record is from RNAcentral. Lineage: Eukaryota; Fungi; Ascomycota; Eurotiomycetes; Eurotiales; Aspergillaceae.